Molecule: ribosomal RNA, 1619 nt
Filed under: Sooglossus thomasseti (Thomasset's Seychelles frog)
Lineage: Eukaryota; Metazoa; Chordata; Amphibia; Anura; Sooglossidae
Description: large ribosomal RNA subunit RNA
Rfam family: Bacterial large subunit ribosomal RNA (bases 1-1445)
Source: RNAcentral
GCCUAACCCCUAGCCCAACCCUAAUUUUCAAAACACGUCCACCAAACACUAAAACAUUCUAACCACUAUAGUAGAGGCGAUCAAAACACUCUUUGGAGCUAUAUAGCUAGUACCGCAAGGGAAAGAUGAAAUAACAAUGAAAAACCAAGCAUAAAACAGCAGAGACUAAAACUCGUACCUUUUGCAUCAUGAUUUAGCCAGUCUAAUUAAGCAAAACGACUUACAGUUUAACCUCCCGAAACUAAAUGAGCUACUCUAAGGCAGCCUUCAGGGCUAACUCAUCCCUGUUGCAAAAGGGUGAAAAGACCUUAUAGUAGAGGCGACAAACCUACCGAAUUUAGUGAUAGCUGGUUGCUUAAGAAAAGAACCUAAAUUCAACCUUAAACACAACACAACACAACUAAGUACCCAAAAACUUUAAGAGCCAUUCAAGCAAGGUACAGCUUGCCUGAAAAAGGAUACAACCUACCAACAAGGGUAACGUCCCAGCACUCAACACAUAAGUAGGCCCAAAAGCAGCCACCUUCCAAGACAGCGUCACAGCUCACCUUCAAAACCAAAAAAAUCCCUCCAACACUACAGAACCCUAACACACCAUUAAGCAAUCCUAUUUUCUCAUAUGAACUAUUAUGCUAAAACUAGUAAUAAGGGCAUCAGCCCCUCUUUAAUGCAAACAUACAUCAGCACGGACAAACCACCGAUACUUAACACCCGCUAAUCCCGCAGCUACAACAAAACACACAAGAAAAUUUACCUAAACCAAACGUUAACCUAACACAAGCGCAUUACAAGAAAGAUUGCAAGGAAAAGAAGGAACUCGGCAAAUUUCAGCCUCGCCUGUUUACCAAAAACAUCGCCUCCUGCCUAAACAUAGGAGGUCCUGCCUGCCCAGUGAUCCAAUUCAACGGCCGCGGUAUUUUAACCGUGCAAAGGUAGCACAAUCACUCGUUCUUUAAAUAAGGACUAGUAUGAACGGCCCAACGAAGGCUGCGCUGUCUCCUUUCCCACAUCAAUGAACCUGAUUUCCCCGUGAAGAAGCGAGGAUAAACCUAUAAGACGAAAAGACCCUAUGGAGCUUCAGAUGAAAUAUUAUAUGCCCCAAAAUUAACAUAUCUACAUAUCCAUCUUCGGUUGGGGUGACCACGGAGAAAAACAAACCCUCCACGACAAACAAGCCUAAAUACACAACUUAAAGCAUCAACAAUUUAUCACUUGACCCAAUUACGAUUGAUCAACGAACCAAGUUACCCUAGGGAUAACAGCGCAAUCCAUUUCAAGAGCCCAUAUCAACAAAUGGGUUUACGACCUCGAUGUUGGAUCAGGGUAUCCUAGUGGUGCAACCGCUACUAAAGGUUCGUUUGUUCAACGAUUAAAACCCUACGUGAUCUGAGUUCAGACCGGAGCAAUCCAGGUCAGUUUCUAUCUAUAAAUGAGCGCUCUUCAGUACGAAAGGACCAAGAAUGCAUGGCCCAUGUCCCAGAUAAGCCAUAUAACUUAUUAAUGAACACAACUCAAUUAAUAACAACCUAACAAACUAAUCCUAGAAAAGGAAUAAACUAUUAAGCAAACACACUUAAUAUUAUAAAUUUGGCAGAUAAUAGUUACCCAAUAAAAUCUCU